Molecule: ribosomal RNA, 433 nt
Filed under: uncultured bacterium
Lineage: Bacteria
Description: partial 16S ribosomal RNA
Rfam family: Bacterial small subunit ribosomal RNA
Source: RNAcentral
AACGAACGCUGGCGGCAGGCUUAACACAUGCAAGUCGAGCGAGACCUUCGGGUCUAGCGGCGGACGGGUGAGUAACGCGUGGGAACGUGCCCUUCUCUACGGAAUAGCCCCGGGAAACUGGGAGUAAUACCGUAUACGCCCUUUUGGGGCAAGAUUUCUCGGAGGAGGAUCGGCCCGCGUUGGACUAGGUUGUUGGUGGGGUAAUGGCCCACCAAGCCGAGGCUCCAUAGCUGGUUUGAGAGGAAGAGCAGCCACACUGGGGCGGGGACACGGCCCAGACUACUACGGGAGGCAGGAGAGGGGAAUCUUAGACAAUGGGGGCAACCAAGAACGAGCCAUGCCGCGUGAGUGAUGAAGGCCUUAGGGUUGUAAAGCUCUUUCAGCUGGGAAGAUAAUGACGGUACCAGAAGAAGAAGCCCCGGCUAACUCCGUG